UUCUCGUGCGCGAUAGUUUGUGCCCAGUUUUUGGCAAUUGUUACUUAACGUUCUUGUAUUUGCAAGGAAGGGGAAACUAAGAGCGCAAAGUGGCAUUUCAUUUAGAGGUAUCGGUUGCCGGCGCCGAAAGAUCGUUCAGCGCUUUAUCAAGGAUCAAAGACUACCAUCGUUCUUAUUCAACUCAGAGUCGAGUAACAGGAUUGGCAACUUUGUAUUUGGAAUCUGAGUUAGCAAGGAAACUCGACUUCGAUGAUAUUAUAAGAGCUUUUGCCUCAACUAAAGCAAGAAAAGCAAAAUUCUAAGCAUCGUGGCAGUCAUUUUCAAAUAUUUAUCUGCUGAAGAGUUCUCUAAAAUUCAUUUUAAUCAAUAUUUCAUAAUUAAUUAUAUCAAAAAUUUUAUCAAUGAGUGUUUCAAUGCUUAAAUGUUAUAUCACUAUAACAUAAUACGCAUUUUGAUAAAUAAAAAAAAUUUUAAGGGGCCCGCAUCUCAAGUUUCCCCCGGGGCCCGAAUACUCUCUC
Long non-coding RNA from Anastrepha ludens (Mexican fruit fly), 518 nucleotides. RefSeq lists it as uncharacterized. The record is from RefSeq and is a predicted model, not a curated record. NCBI's taxonomy places the organism in Eukaryota, Metazoa, Arthropoda, Insecta, Diptera, Tephritidae. The transcript is spliced from 3 exons.